UAUGCCGUAACGAAAUACGUCGGCCAUGUUGAAGAAAAAGAUCAGAAAACAGAUAUGGAAAGGAAAGGACUAGAGUGGCGGCGGUGAUGGUGAAUAAUACGGGUCAUAUAUGCGGGUCAACCGGAAACUGCAUUUUAAUUCUGCUAAUGUGAGAUAUCGUUCAUUUUGCCGAUAGUAUUAGAAUAAUGGUUUACAAUGAAAGUGAAUUAAACGUAGCGGAUUAACGAAUUUAAAGAAAAAAAAAAAAACAAAUUGGACCAAAAUGACAACAGAACGAAUCCACGCCUGACAUUGCCUAAGAAAAGUCAGUAAGUGCUUAUUCACUCACGUAUAUUUUUUUUCUCUUCUCGUAUACCUCUGAUAGAUAAAAUAAUUUUAUUUUUCUCUCUUUCUCAUGGGGUUUAUUUCUACACUUAUUUUAAAUACCUUAUUAUGCUAUUUCAAUUGUUUUCCUUUGAAACGAAUCGUUGAUUCCGCUGAUGCAAUUAGAGAGCAAGAUGGAAGUAGAAGAAAA
Long non-coding RNA from Vespa velutina, 514 nucleotides. RefSeq lists it as uncharacterized. The transcript is spliced from 2 exons. The record is from RefSeq and is a predicted model, not a curated record. NCBI's taxonomy places the organism in Eukaryota, Metazoa, Arthropoda, Insecta, Hymenoptera, Vespidae.